GGGGGUUUAGCUCAGUUGGUAGAGCACCUGCUUUGCACGCAGGGGGUCAGGAGUUCGAAUCUCCUAACCUCCACCA
RNAcentral lists this transfer RNA (76 nucleotides) under Candidatus Gastranaerophilales bacterium HUM_9. RNAcentral's name for it is "tRNA-Ala". It matches the Rfam family "tRNA". Rfam says of the family: Transfer RNA (tRNA) molecules are approximately 80 nucleotides in length. Their secondary structure includes four short double-helical elements and three loops (D, anti-codon, and T loops). The record is from RNAcentral. Lineage: Bacteria; Bacillati; Candidatus Melainabacteria; Candidatus Gastranaerophilales. RNAcentral also lists the same sequence under 2 other names.